Molecule: transfer RNA, 776 nt
Filed under: uncultured bacterium
Lineage: Bacteria
Description: partial contains 16S ribosomal RNA, 16S-23S ribosomal RNA intergenic spacer, and 23S ribosomal RNA
Rfam family: tRNA (bases 310-383)
Source: RNAcentral
UGCGGCUGGAUCCCCUCCUUUCUAAGGAAGCAGGCGCUAGAUCUGAUCUCUGAUCGAUCUGUUCCAGCUUUACUUACAUCGACCGGAUCUGUUCAGGUCCGCCGUCCUCGUAUCCCUUCUCGAUCGUUGGAACCUAGGCGCCGCGCCUAGAGAUCAACCUUGGCCGAUUGGCCUUCAGCGAGGCGAUCAGCGCCAGUGAUUGGGGCUGUAGCUCAGUUGGGAGAGCGCCUGCUUUGCAAGCAAGAGGUCAUCGGUUCGAUCCCGUUCAGCUCCACCAAGUUUUAGUGUUGGAGUGUUGUGGGCGAGUGGGGGCUAGUAGCUCAGUUGGUUAGAGCGCGCGCUUGAUAAGCGUGAGGUCGGAAGUUCAAAUCUUCCCUGGCCCACCAUCUUCUUCCAGCGAUUGAGAUCGAAAAGAAUUGAGAAUGGGUAUCGGAGGUUUGCGCCUUCGGCUUGUUCUUUGGCUGUUUGGCAUUGUGGAUCGGAUGCAAAGCACGCUUGGACGCAGGUUCACGCGCGCGUGGUGGCGAGAGCUGCUGCGCGGCGAUGGAGUUGGGUUCGAAGCAGUGCACGAGUAAAUGAAGUAGCUAAGUUGUGCCGAGCCGUUGCGCACGGGACGAAGGACGGGGGAGCUCCGAAGGCAAGCCCGUGGUCAUGAAUGAGAGUUCAUGGCCGAAGAUUGGGUCCGCAGAUACAAGAGCUGCGGUGAUCCCGGUCUCGUCAACAAAAGGCCCCGCCUUGCGGGGUGUUUGUCACUGUGUGCGAUGGGUUGUGAUCAA